UUAAACUAUAACCAAACACACAUUUAUUUUAAAGCUUAACCGGAUACUGAACCGAUUUUUUCACAUAGUUGGGUAAGAAGCGUUCAUGGCAAGACCACAUUGUCCGUGUUUAGCCUUGGUAUCUUUUUUGAUCCUCAUGUAUCCACGUUCUCCCCAUUUUGGUCCCCAUGAGUUCUUGAGGAUCCAGUACUUUGAUCCGUUGCUAGAUUUGCCGUAUCCAACUACAGCUACCCCGUGAUCAAGAUGAGUUGAGCACUCUCCGCUGAACA
RNAcentral lists this long non-coding RNA (269 nucleotides) under Brassica napus (rape). RNAcentral's name for it is "long non-coding RNA (BNAP_LNC021407)". The record is from RNAcentral. Lineage: Eukaryota; Viridiplantae; Streptophyta; Magnoliopsida; Brassicales; Brassicaceae.